RNAcentral lists this ribosomal RNA (339 nucleotides) under Triticum aestivum (bread wheat). Its description in RNAcentral is "partial small subunit ribosomal RNA". The record is from RNAcentral. Lineage: Eukaryota; Viridiplantae; Streptophyta; Magnoliopsida; Poales; Poaceae.
CUUAUCUCGGAGAAUCAAAGUGCCUUCAUCCCGGGAAGGCUGAUCACAGAUAACUCCAUUAUAGCCUUUGAAUGUAUCCAUCAUAUUCAAACAUUAUCAGAAAAUUCGGAGGCUUAUUGUGCUUACAAGCUUGACCUGUCGAAGGCAUACGACCGUGUUGAUUGGGAGUUUUUGGAGAAGGCACUUCUUAAGUGGGGGUUCUCCCAGCACUGGAUUUCUCGUGUCAUGGCAUGCGUCUCUUCAGUCAAGUACUCUGUGAAGAUCAAUGGCAAGUUGACGGAGAUAUUCACCCCUUCGAGGGGCCUGCGCCAAGGUGACCCCUUAUCCCCCUUUCUAUGA